RNAcentral lists this ribosomal RNA (271 nucleotides) under uncultured archaeon. RNAcentral's name for it is "partial 16S ribosomal RNA". It matches the Rfam family "Archaeal small subunit ribosomal RNA", at positions 477 to 747 of the family's 1478-position model. The record is from RNAcentral.
CAGCGCCACGAGUGGGGAUCCUGUUUAUUUGGCCUAAAGCGUCCGUAGCUGGUCGAGUAAAUUUCUUGUGAAAUUGUUUUGCUUAACAAAACAACGUGCAGGAAAGACUGCUUAACUAGGGACCGGGAGGAGUCAGAGGUAUGCUGAGGGGAGCGGUAAAAUGCUAUAAUCCUCGGUAGACCACCUGUGGCGAAGGCGUCUGACUAGAACGGGUCCGACAGUGAGGGACGAAAGCCAGGGGAGCAAACCGGAUUAGAUACCCGAGUAGUCC